Pelobates cultripes (western spadefoot toad) is the source of this 281-nucleotide non-coding RNA. NCBI's taxonomy places the organism in Eukaryota, Metazoa, Chordata, Amphibia, Anura, Pelobatidae. The record is from the annotation of a GenBank genome assembly.
UGAGCACUCUCCUACAGAGUCUAUAUCAGUAUAGCAGUCUCACCCAAACACUAGCCGAGACGAAGUGAAGGGUAACGUAGAAUUGGUUUUAUUGAGUGAAAUACAGGUUUAUAUAGGAGUAAUCACAACAGGGGGUCAUCAUACAAAACAAUACAAGUCACUCCUGUAUUAUAAACUAAUUUCUUCCCUUCUAUUUUACAUUUUAUACACACAGAAACCCAUAGUACAAGAAAACUCCUAAAACAUAUAUAACACGAUACAGCAGUUUAAAGGGAUCUCUG